Molecule: ribosomal RNA, 254 nt
Filed under: uncultured bacterium
Lineage: Bacteria
Description: partial 16S ribosomal RNA
Rfam family: Bacterial small subunit ribosomal RNA
Source: RNAcentral
UACGGAGGGUGCAAGCGUUAUCCGGAAUCACUGGGUUUAAAGGGUGCGUAGGCGGUGUGGUAAGUCAGUCGUGAAAUUCCCCGGCUUAACCGGCGGGACUGCGAUUGAUACUGCCAUACUUGAAUCAGGUUGAGGUAGGCGGAAUGUGGCAUGUAGCGGUGAAAUGCUUAGAUAUGCCAUAGAACACCGAUUGCGAAGGCAGCUUGCUGGGCCUUGAUUGACGCUGAGGCACGAAAGCGUGGGGAGCAAACAGG